CCUACGGGAGGCAGCAGUGAGGAAUAUUGGUCAAUGGCCGCUAGCCUGAACCAGCCAAGUAGCGUGAAGGAUGACUGCCCUAUGGGUUGUAAACUUCUUUUAUAUAGGAAUAAAGUGAAGUAUGUAUACUGCUUUGCAUGUACCUUAUGAAUAAGGAUCGGCUAACUCCGUGCCAGCAGCCGCGGUAAUACGGAGGAUCCGAGCGUUAUCCGGAUUUAUUGGGUUGAAAGGGAGCGUAGGCGGGUUGUUAAGUCAGUUGUGAAAGUUUGCGGCUCAACCGUAAAAUUGCAGUUGAUACUGGCAGCCUUGAGUACAGUUGAGGUAGGCGGAAUUCGUGGUGUAGCGGUGAAAUGCUUAGAUAUCACGAAGAACUCCGAUUGCGAAGGCAGCCUGCUGGACUGUAACUGACGCUGAUGCUCGAAAGUGUGGGUAUCAAACAGGAUUAGAUACCCUUGUAGUC
Molecule: ribosomal RNA, 460 nt
Filed under: uncultured bacterium
Lineage: Bacteria
Description: partial 16S ribosomal RNA
Rfam family: Bacterial small subunit ribosomal RNA
Source: RNAcentral